AUUGAACGCUGGCGGCAGGCCUAACACAUGCAAGUCGAACGAGUGGCGGACGGGUGAGUAAUGUCUGGGAAACUGCCUGAUGGAGGGGGAUAACUACUGGAAACGGUAGCUAAUACCGCAUACCAUCAGAUGUGCCCAGAUGGGAUUAGCUUGUUGGUGGGGUAACGGCUCACCAAGGCGACGAUCCCUAGCUGGUCUGAGAGGAUGACCGACCACAAUGGAGGUGAGACAGGGUCCAGACUCCUAUGGUAGGCAGCAGUGUGGAAUAUUGCACAAUGGGCGCAAGCUUGCUGCAGCCCUGCCGCGUGUAUGAAGAAGGCCAUCUGGUUGUAAAGUACUUUCAGCGGGGCGGCGUUCCCCGCAGAAGAAGCACCGGCUAACUCCGUGCCAGCCGCCGCGGUAAUUC
This 406-nucleotide ribosomal RNA is filed under the name uncultured bacterium. RNAcentral describes it as "partial 16S ribosomal RNA". It matches the Rfam family "Bacterial small subunit ribosomal RNA", at positions 30 to 526 of the family's 1533-position model. The record is from RNAcentral.